AGACCGCCCAGGAGGCGGCGGCUAUUGUUCCCCGCAGGGGCCCGGGGCGCCCUGAAACGGGGUCCACGUCAGCCCGCUCCCGAGCGUGUCCUCAGGUCUAAGGACGGGUGGGGCUUCCUUUGUGUGUUCUCUGGAAGGGGCUGGGAUGGCGUCGUUGCUGCCCCAAGGGGUAACCGAGGGGGAUUGAGGGAAGAUGGUACCAGCUCCCUAGAGCUCAGCUCACCAGACCUACUCUUCCGCUCGACCCUUGCAGAGGAGGUGGGGACGGAUAUGGUAUUUGUAGGGCAGCGCUGUGAACAAUGGAGCCAUCAAAAAGGCCUUCUCCCAGCCUCCUCACCAACCACGGACAUUCCUGGCCCAACAAGACCUCCUGGCCAGGUUUUGAGCCCUGCUUCCCAGGUAAAAACACUGCCUGUACCAGAGCUCUCCAUGAAUUUUGGUUUAAAUUAGGAUUUAAAUUCUUCUGGCCCUUACUAAUGUUAAAACCCAGCUUUUAUGAUUUCUCCAGGUAGUAUUCUUUCCUUAAAAUAAUCCAGACUAGCUAUAGGAACCAAUCAGGACAUUUUGCCCAAGAUCUAGGACAGAAAGACUCAUGCAGUAACUCCUGCCUUACAGAUCUGGGGACCCUUCACCUGCCUCUACUACUGCAAAUGAUUGGAUAUUCGUCUGACUUGGCUCUUCCCUAAUGUGUGGAACUAAUUUUGUUCACUCUGUUUCAUGCUGGACCUGGCCUGAAAAUGGGCCCUUAUAUUGUCUUUGCACUUUCCAACUUGCCAAGUUUCUGAAAGAAGGACCAAAGUAAUGCCAAGAACUCCCAGAUGAAGAGGACCUUCCUUAGACCUAUAACAGAUUCACUACUUGACUUCAGAGGGAAGUUUCAGCUAAUUCUCAGGAAAAGGUCAAAACAGGCCUGUGACUGUCCCUUGAAUACUGAAGGUAUAAACAAGCUUCUGGCUCCUCCAGGUCAAGCAGAGGAACACUUUUAUUAGAAUGAAGGGUUACUUCUUUGUUAUUCAAACACACACCCACACACAUCCUCUGUAGUCUCCCUAAUGAAAAACCUCAACAGAUGGAGAGCCUGAGCUCCCAAGUCCGCAGGCUGAGAAGAUGCACUUCACUCAAGGGCCAGUGGGCUGGUACAGACUAGGGAAGAGAAAAGGGACAAAGGCUGCUAGUAUAGGUAAUCACUAUCUUUUAAUACUCCUAACACAUAGAAAUUCGAAAAAUCUUGUUCAGCAAUGUUAGCAGCCUGUGAGCCUCGGAAACUAAUUUGGCUGAUGUGUCUCUGAUAGGGAGCUUGGGGCUGCACCAA
This 1312-nucleotide long non-coding RNA is filed under the name Homo sapiens (human). RNAcentral's name for it is "non-protein coding HAGLR:42". Lineage: Eukaryota; Metazoa; Chordata; Mammalia; Primates; Hominidae. The record is from RNAcentral.